UACGAAGGGGGCUAGCGUUGUUCGGAAUCACUGGGCGUAAAGCGCACGUAGGCGGAUCUUUAAGUCAGGGGUGAAAUCCCGAGGCUCAACCUCGGAACUGCCUUUGAUACUGGGGAUCUCGAGUCCGGGAGAGGUGAGUGGAACUGCGAGUGUAGAGGUGAAAUUCGUAGAUAUUCGCAAGAACACCAGUGGCGAAGGCGACUUACUGGACACAUAUUGACGCUGAGGUGCGAAAGCGUGGGGAGCAAACAGG
Molecule: ribosomal RNA, 253 nt
Filed under: uncultured bacterium
Lineage: Bacteria
Description: partial 16S ribosomal RNA
Rfam family: Bacterial small subunit ribosomal RNA
Source: RNAcentral